CCUGUCUCUGUGUUUGCACCAGGAAAACCCUUACAGAAUCACCCACCACAACAGGACCAAGCGGCGUGGUAACCGGCAACAGCAACACCGGCGCAAAGAGGAAUGGACAUGGGACGAUGUAUUGGACGGCAAGGGUUGCUACACCUGGGAGGAGAUCCUGGCGGAAAAGGAUCGCCUUCCAUGGGAACAGGUAGAGGCAGCUAGGAGAGCAGAGGCAGCCGGAGAGAGGAGCCGGCGAUAUGAGGGAACACUGCUGGCAAGGAAGCCCGAGAGGCAGCCCCAAACAUUUCUUGGGGUGUGGCACACAGGAAGUGUGGCGAAGCCAGGUAGGAGACCUGCGCCAACUUCCUGUGCUUACCGGGGGGCGAGAGAGA
Long non-coding RNA from Oncorhynchus tshawytscha (Chinook salmon), 374 nucleotides. NCBI's taxonomy places the organism in Eukaryota, Metazoa, Chordata, Actinopteri, Salmoniformes, Salmonidae. The record is from Ensembl.